GCUCAGAUUGAACGCUGGCGGCAGGCCUAACACAUGCAAGUCGAGCGGUAGCACAGGAGAGCUUGCUCUCUGGGUGACGAGCGGCGGACGGGUGAGUAAUGUCUGGGAAACUGCCUGAUGGAGGGGGAUAACUACUGGAAACGGUAGCUAAUACCGCAUAACGUCUACGGACCAAAGUGGGGGACCUUCGGGCCUCACGCCAUCAGAUGUGCCCAGAUGGGAUUAGCUAGUAGGUGGGGUAAUGGCUCACCUAGGCGACGAUCCCUAGCUGGUCUGAGAGGAUGACCAGCCACACUGGAACUGAGACACGGUCCAGACUCCUACGGGAGGCAGCAGUGGGGAAUAUUGCACAAUGGGCGCAAGCCUGAUGCAGCCAUGCCGCGUGUGUGAAGAAGGCCUUAGGGUUGUAAAGCACUUUCAGCGAGGAGGAAGGGNAAUGUGUUAAUAGCACAUUGCAU
Molecule: ribosomal RNA, 458 nt
Filed under: Serratia plymuthica
Lineage: Bacteria; Pseudomonadati; Pseudomonadota; Gammaproteobacteria; Enterobacterales; Yersiniaceae
Description: bacterial SSU rRNA
Rfam family: Bacterial small subunit ribosomal RNA
Source: RNAcentral